Molecule: ribosomal RNA, 449 nt
Filed under: uncultured bacterium
Lineage: Bacteria
Description: partial 16S ribosomal RNA
Rfam family: Bacterial small subunit ribosomal RNA
Source: RNAcentral
AGCGAACGCUGGCGGCAAGCUUAACACAUGCAAGUCGAACGAUGUAGCAAUACAUAGUGGCGGACGGGUGCGUAACACGUGGGUAUCUGCCUUUAGGUAAGGAAUAACUCAGGGAAACUUGAGCUAAUACCUUAUAAUGUCUUCGGACCAAAAAUUUAUUGCCUAAAGAUGAGCCCGCGGUAGAUUAGCUAGUUGGUGGGGUAAUGGCCUACCAAGGCAACGAUCUAUAGCUGGUCUUAGAGGAUGAUCAGCCACACUGGGACUGAGACACGGCCCAGACUCCUACGGGAGGCAGCAGUGGGGAAUAUUGGGCAAUGGACGAAAGUCUGACCCAGCUAUGCCGCGUGAAUGAUGAAGGCCUUAGGGUUGUAAAGUUCUUUUACCGGGGAAGAUAAUGACGGUACCCGGAGAAAAAGCUCCGGCUAACUUCGUGCCAGCAGCCGCCGUAA